Long non-coding RNA from Dalotia coriaria, 580 nucleotides. RefSeq lists it as uncharacterized. The transcript has 2 exons. NCBI's taxonomy places the organism in Eukaryota, Metazoa, Arthropoda, Insecta, Coleoptera, Staphylinidae. The record is from RefSeq and is a predicted model, not a curated record.
AUAGUGAUAAUGACAUGGAAUGGGAGUAUUGUAAUACUCAUUUGAAUUUAUCUUUCAAAAAAGAACCUAUACCAAGAAUUAAAAACUUUGUUGCAGAGGUUAUACCAGCAUUUUCUGAUACAGAAUUCAAAUCUCAUUUUAGGGUGUUUCGAUCAACAUUUGAUUUUGUUCGUGAAAAAAUUAAACCAUCGUUAAUGAGAAAAACCCCAGGAUGUGAAAUGAUAUCACCAGACAAACAGUUAUUCAUCGCUUUAUGGAAAAUGGCUACUCCAGAUUCGUAUCGGUAUUAUAAAAAAUAUUACUUAUAUUUUGAAAGAAACGAACAAAGUAGAAACAAAACUUCAUCCUUAACCAAACGUAAUAAAAAACUUGAAUAUUUUUCCUUUUAAUUUAUAAUUUUAUAUAUAUACCUGAUUGUAGUCGCUCAUAUUCACGGUCCGUAACAACAAUUGUGUAAAUUUUAUUACUUUCUGGAUCAGUUAGCUCAACAGAAAUUAAUUUUGGUUGACUGCUUGCCAUUUUUGCGGGAUUGUAAAGAAUUUAACAAUUUAGAAAUAAAUGAAAUUUUUUGGUUAGCUUA